This 504-nucleotide ribosomal RNA is filed under the name uncultured bacterium. RNAcentral describes it as "partial 16S ribosomal RNA". It matches the Rfam family "Bacterial small subunit ribosomal RNA", at positions 30 to 523 of the family's 1533-position model. The record is from RNAcentral.
AUUGAACGCUGGCGGCAGGCUUAACACAUGCAAGUCGAGCGGGAAUAGGUAGCUUGCUACUGAAUUCUAGCGGCGGACGGGUGAGUAAAGCUUAGGAAUCUGCCAUUUAGUGGGGGACAACAUUCCGAAAGGGAUGCUAAUACCGCAUACGUCCUACGGGAGAAAGCAGGGGAUCACUUUUGACCUUGCGCUAAAUGAUGAGCCUAAGUCGGAUUAGCUAGUUGGUGGGGUAAAGGCCUACCAAGGCGACGAUCAGUAGCGGGUCUGAGAGGAUCUUCCGCCACACUGGGACUGAAACACGGCCCAGACUCCUACGGGAGGCAGCAGUUGGGAAUAUUGGACAAUGGGGGGAACCCUGAUCCAGCCAUGCCGCGUGUGUGAAGAAGGCCUUUUGGUUGUAAAGCACUUUAAGCGAGGAGGGGGCUCCUGUAGAUAAUACCUACAGAGAGUGGACGUUACUCGCAGAAUAAGCACCGGCUAACUCUGUGCCAGCAGCCGCCGUAA